AGUUGGUAGAGCAGCGCACUGAAGAUGCGCGGGUCCGCGGUUCAAGUCCGCGAGUUGCCA
RNAcentral lists this transfer RNA (60 nucleotides) under Planctomycetota bacterium. RNAcentral's name for it is "Planctomycetes bacterium tRNA-Phe". It matches the Rfam family "tRNA", at positions 14 to 71 of the family's 71-position model. From Rfam's summary of the family: Transfer RNA (tRNA) molecules are approximately 80 nucleotides in length. The record is from RNAcentral. Lineage: Bacteria; Pseudomonadati; Planctomycetota.